This 269-nucleotide ribosomal RNA is filed under the name uncultured prokaryote. RNAcentral's name for it is "partial 16S ribosomal RNA". It matches the Rfam family "Bacterial small subunit ribosomal RNA", at positions 524 to 792 of the family's 1533-position model. The record is from RNAcentral.
GACGAAGGUGGCUAGCGUUGUUCGGUGUUACUGGGCUUAAAGCGUGCGUAGGCGGAAAAGCAAGCGCCUUGUGAAAUCCCCCGGCUUAACCGGGGAAAUGCUCGGCGAACUGCUUUUCUUGAGGCGAGUAGGGGUGCACGGAACUCUUGGUGGAGCGGUGGAAUGCGUAGAUAUCAAGAGGAACGCCGGUGGAGAAAUCGGUGCACUGGGCUUGUUCUGACGCUGAGGCACGAAAGCGUGGGGAGCGAACGGGAUUAGAUACCCGCGUA